GCCGAGGUAGCUCAGUGGUAGAGCACCGCUUUCGUAAAGCGGGGGUCGAGGGUUCAAAUCCCUCUCUCGGCUCCA
RNAcentral lists this transfer RNA (75 nucleotides) under bacterium. RNAcentral describes it as "tRNA-Thr". It matches the Rfam family "tRNA". From Rfam's summary of the family: Transfer RNA (tRNA) molecules are approximately 80 nucleotides in length. Their secondary structure includes four short double-helical elements and three loops (D, anti-codon, and T loops). The record is from RNAcentral.